GAGGAAUAUUGGUCAAUGGGCGCGAGCCUGAACCAGCCAAGUAGCGUGCAGGAUGACGGCCCUAUGGGUUGUAAACUGCUUUUGUAUGGGGAUAAAGUCAAUCACGUGUGAUUGUUUGCAGGUACCAUACGAAUAAGGACCGGCUAAUUCCGUGCCAGCAGCCGCGGUAAUACGGGAGGUCCGGGCGUUAUCCGGAUUUAUUGGGUUUAAAGGGAGCGUAGGCCGGAGAUUAAGUGUGUUGUGAAAUGUAGACGCUCAACGUCUGACUUGCAGCGCAUACUGGUUUUCUUGAGUACGCACAACGUUGGCGGAAUUCGUCGUGUAGCGGUGAAAUGCUUAGAUAUGACGAAGAACUCCGAUUGCGAAGGCAGCUGACGGGAGCGCAACUGACGCUUAAGCUCGAAGGUGCGGGUAUCGAACAGGAUUAGAUACCCUGGUAGUCCGCACAGUAAACGAUGGAUGCCCGCUGUUGGUACCUGGUAUCAGCGGCUAAGCGAAAGCAUUAAGCAUCCCACCUGGGGAGUACGCCGGCAACGGUG
Molecule: ribosomal RNA, 539 nt
Filed under: uncultured bacterium
Lineage: Bacteria
Description: bacterial SSU rRNA
Rfam family: Bacterial small subunit ribosomal RNA
Source: RNAcentral